AGAGUUUGAUCCUGGCUCAGGAUGAACGCUAGCGGCAGGCCUAACACAUGCAAGUCAGGGGCAGCACGGUGUUAGCAAUACACUGGUGGCGACCGGCGCACGGGUGCGUAACGCGUAUGCAACCUACCCGAUAACAGGGGGAUAACACUGAGAAAUUGGUACUAAUACCCCAUAACAUCAGGACCGGCAUCGGUUCUGGUUGAAAACUCCGGUGGUUAUGGAUGGGCAUGCGUUGUAUUAGCUGGUUGGUGAGGUAACGGCUCACCAAGGCAACGAUACAUAGGGGGACUGAGAGGUUAACCCCCCACAUUGGUACUGAGACACGGACCAAACUCCUACGGGAGGCAGCA
This 350-nucleotide ribosomal RNA is filed under the name uncultured bacterium. RNAcentral describes it as "bacterial SSU rRNA". It matches the Rfam family "Bacterial small subunit ribosomal RNA", at positions 8 to 353 of the family's 1533-position model. The record is from RNAcentral.